Unclassified non-coding RNA from Oncorhynchus mykiss (rainbow trout), 298 nucleotides. It matches the Rfam family "Metazoan signal recognition particle RNA". From Rfam's summary of the family: The signal recognition particle (SRP) is a universally conserved ribonucleoprotein. It is involved in the co-translational targeting of proteins to membranes. NCBI's taxonomy places the organism in Eukaryota, Metazoa, Chordata, Actinopteri, Salmoniformes, Salmonidae. The record is from Ensembl.
ACCGGGUGCGGUGGCAUGUGCCUGUAAUCCAAGUCACUGGGAGGCUGAGGUUGGUGGAUCAAGUGAGCUGAGGAGCUCUGGGCUGCAGCACGCUAUGUCGAACGGGUGUCCAUGCUAAGUUCGGUAUCGAUAUGGUGUUCCUGGGGGAGCCCGGGACCACCAGGUUGUCUAAGGAGGGGUGAACCGGCCCAGGUCGGAAACGAAGCAUGUAAAUCCCCCUUGCUGUCCAGUAGUGGGAUAAUACCUGUGAGUAGAUGCUGCAGUGCAGCCUUGGCAAAACAUCGAGACCUAAUCUUUU